GCUGGCGGCAGGCCUAACACAUGCAAGUCGAGCGGUAGAGAGAAGCUUGCUUCUCUUGAGAGCGGCGGACGGGUGAGUAAAGCCUAGGAAUCUGCCUGGUAGUGGGGGAUAACGUUCGGAAACGGACGCUAAUACCGCAUACGUCCUACGGGAGAAAGCAGGGGACCUUCGGGCCUUGCGCUAUCAGAUGAGCCUAGGUCGGAUUAGCUAGUUGGUGAGGUAAUGGCUCACCAAGGCGACGAUCCGUAACUGGUCUGAGAGGAUGAUCAGUCACACUGGAACUGAGACACGGUCCAGACUCCUACGGGAGGCAGCAGUGGGGAAUAUUGGACAAUGGGCGAAAGCCUGAUCCAGCCAUGCCGCGUGUGUGAAGAAGGUCUUCGGAUUGUAAAGCACUUUAAGUUGGGAGGAAGGGCAUUAACCUAAUACGUUAGUGUUUUGACGUUACCGACAGAAUAAGCACCGGCUAACUCUGUGCCAGCAGCCGCGGUAAUACAGAGGGUGCAAGCGUUAAUCGGAAUUACUGGGCGUAAAGCGCGCGUAGGUGGUUUGUUAAGUUGGAUGUGAAAUCCCCGGGCUCAACCUGGGAACUGCAUUCGAAACUGACUGACUAGAGUAUGGUAGAGGGUGGUGGAAUUUCCUGUGUAGCGGUGAAAUGCAUAGAUAUAGGAAGGAACACCAGUGGCGAAGGCGACCACCUGGACUAAUACUGACACUGAGUGCGAAAGCGUGGGGAGCAAACAGGAUUAGAUACCCUGGUAGUCCACGCCGUAAACGAUGUCACUAGCCGUUGGG
RNAcentral lists this ribosomal RNA (795 nucleotides) under uncultured bacterium. RNAcentral describes it as "bacterial SSU rRNA". It matches the Rfam family "Bacterial small subunit ribosomal RNA", at positions 35 to 827 of the family's 1533-position model. The record is from RNAcentral.